RNAcentral lists this ribosomal RNA (460 nucleotides) under uncultured bacterium. RNAcentral describes it as "SSU rRNA". It matches the Rfam family "Bacterial small subunit ribosomal RNA", at positions 26 to 518 of the family's 1533-position model. The record is from RNAcentral.
AGAAUCAACGCUGGCGGCGUGCCUAACACAUGCAAGUCGCACGAGAAAGGGGAGCAAUCCCUGAGUAAAGUGGCGCACGGGUGAGUAACACGUGAAUGAUCUACCUCCGAGUGGGGAAUAACUGAGAGAAAUCUUAGCUAAUACCGCAUAAUACCCACGGGUCAAAGCAGCAAUGCGCUUGGAGAGGAGUUCGCGGCCGAUUAGCUAGUUGGCGGGGUAAUGGCCCACCAAGGCGAUGAUCGGUAUCCGGCCUGAGAGGGCGCACGGACACACUGGAACUGAAACACGGUCCAGACUCCUACGGGAGGCAGCAGUGGGGAAUUUUGCGCAAUGGGGGAAACCCUGACGCAGCAACGCCGCGUGGAGGAUGAAGCCCCUUGGGGUGUAAACUCCUUUCGAUCGGGAAGAUAAUGACGGUACCGAUAUAAGAACGCCCGGCUAACUUCGCGCCAGCAGCCGC